Molecule: ribosomal RNA, 253 nt
Filed under: uncultured bacterium
Lineage: Bacteria
Description: partial 16S ribosomal RNA
Rfam family: Bacterial small subunit ribosomal RNA
Source: RNAcentral
UACGUAGGGGGCAAGCGUUGUCCGGAAUCAUUGGGCGUAAAGAGCGCGUAGGCGGCCCAGUAAGUCCGCUGUGAAAGUCGGGGGCUCAACCCUCGGAUGCCGGUGGAUACUGUCGGGCUUGAGUACGGAAGAGGCGAGUGGAAUUCCUGGUGUAGCGGUGAAAUGCGCAGAUAUCAGGAGGAACACCAAUUGCGAAGGCAGCUCGCUGGGACGUUACUGACGCUGAGACGCGAAAGCGUGGGGAGCAAACAGG